RNAcentral lists this ribosomal RNA (464 nucleotides) under uncultured bacterium. Its description in RNAcentral is "SSU rRNA". It matches the Rfam family "Bacterial small subunit ribosomal RNA", at positions 26 to 518 of the family's 1533-position model. The record is from RNAcentral.
AGAACGAACGCUGGCGGCAUGCCUAACACAUGCAAGUCGAACGCUCUUGAGGCUUCGGUUUCAAGGGAGUGGCGCACGGGUGAGUAGCGCGUGGGAACCUGCCCUGUUGUGGGGGAUAACCGAGGGAAACUUCGGCUAAUACCGCAUGCGCCCCGGAGCAAUCCGGGGGAAAGAUUUAUCGCAGCAGGAGGGGCCCGCGUCGGAUUAGGUAGUUGGUAGGGUAACGGCCUACCAAGCCUUUGAUCCGUAGCUGGUCUGAGAGGAUGAUCAGCCACACUGAGACUGAGACACGGCCCAGACUCCUACGGGAGGCAGCAGUGGGGAAUAUUGGACAAUGGGCGCAAGCCUGAUCCAGCCAUGCCGCGUGGGUGAUGAAGGCCCUAGGGUUGUAAAGCCCUUUCGGCGGGGAAGAUAAUGACGGUACCCGCAGAAGAAGCCCCGGCUAACUUCGUGCCAGCAGCCGC